Molecule: ribosomal RNA, 503 nt
Filed under: uncultured bacterium
Lineage: Bacteria
Description: partial 16S ribosomal RNA
Rfam family: Bacterial small subunit ribosomal RNA
Source: RNAcentral
GAUGAACGCUAGCGACAGGCCUAACACAUGCAAGUCGAGGGGUAGCAGGAUGUAGCAAUACAUCGCUGACGACCGGCGCACGGGUGAGUAACGCGUAUGCAACCUACCUUCUACAGGGGGAUAGCCCGGAGAAACCCGGAUUAAUACCCCAUAAAACAGGGACUCCGCAUGGAGAUAUUUGUUAAAGAUUAAUCGGUAGAAGAUGGGCAUGCGUUCCAUUAGCCAGUUGGUGAGGUAACGGCUCACCAAAGCAACGAUGGAUAGGGGAACUGAGAGGUUUAUCCCCCACACUGGAACUGAGACACGGACCAGACUCCUACGGGAGGCAGCAGUGAGGAAUAUUGGUCAAUGGGCGCGAGCCUGAACCAGCCAAGUCGCGUGAAGGAAGACUGCCUUAGGGGUUGUAAACUUCUUUUAUAUGAGAAUAAAAAGAGUUACGUGUAACUUAUUGCAAGUAUCAUAUGAAUAAGCAUCGGCUAACUCCGUGCCAGCCGCCGCGGUAA